Portunus trituberculatus (swimming crab) is the source of this 410-nucleotide long non-coding RNA. RefSeq lists it as uncharacterized. The transcript is spliced from 4 exons. Lineage: Eukaryota; Metazoa; Arthropoda; Malacostraca; Decapoda; Portunidae. The record is from RefSeq and is a predicted model, not a curated record.
CUCCGAGUCAGGCCCUCUGGCGGCGGCUUCAGCAUUUUCGCAGACAUCUUGGUGUGAGUGGAGUGCUGUGUGGCUGCCCGUCUCCUGCCGACGCUCAAGAGUAGCUUCUUCUUUAUGAUGGAGGAAGGAUAGAUAUCAGUACACGUGCUUCGAAUCAACGAGGACCUUGCUUCUCCAAGACUAUACAGGCAAACUCACGGAUGAAGAUGUUGCAAGGUGAACUCGUGAACUAGUUGGUGCUGCUUCAGUGGCAGCUGGCCAGAACGUUGAUCACCUGACGUGCAUGCGCUACACAGAAGGACAGACUCCUGGUGUCGAUGGGGAUCUGUUGUUUGCGCGGCACGUGAUCGAGGAGCUCCAGACGCCAGCAGGACACGAACCUGGUCUCCAUGGUGCAGGAGCAGGGACCC